UACGUAGGGUGCAAGCGUUAAUCGGAAUUACUGGGCGUAAAGCGAGCGCAGGCGGUUAUUUAAGUCAGGUGUGAAAGCCCCGAGCUCAACUUGGGACGUGCAUUUGAAACUGGAUAACUAGAGUGUGUCAGAGGGGGGUAGAAUUCCACGUGUAGCAGUGAAAUGCGUAGAGAUGUGGAGGAAUACCGAUGGCGAAGGCAGCCCCCUGGGCCUGUACUGACGCUCAUGCACGAAAGCGUGGGGAGCAAACAGG
This 253-nucleotide ribosomal RNA is filed under the name uncultured Vitreoscilla sp. RNAcentral's name for it is "partial 16S ribosomal RNA". It matches the Rfam family "Bacterial small subunit ribosomal RNA", at positions 524 to 776 of the family's 1533-position model. Lineage: Bacteria; Pseudomonadati; Pseudomonadota; Betaproteobacteria; Neisseriales; Neisseriaceae. The record is from RNAcentral.